UUGACGGGGAGCACCACAACGGGUGGAGCUUGCGGUUUAAUUGGAUUCAACGCCGGAAAUCUUACCGGGACCGACAGCAAUAUGAAGGCCAGGCUGAAGACUUUGCCGGAUUAGCUGAGAGGUGGUGCAUGGCCGUCGUCAGUUCGUACUGUGAAGCAUCCUGUUAAGUCAGGCAACGAGCGAGACCCACGCCCACAGUUGCCAGCGUACUCUCUGGAGUGACGGGUACACUGUGGGACCGCCGCUGCUAAAGCGGAGGAAGGAAUGGGCAACGGUAGGUCAGUAUGCCCCGAAUAUCCCGGGCUACACGCGAGCUACAAUGGUUGGUACAAUGGGUAUCUACCCCGAAAGGGGACGGGAAUCUCCUAAAACCAAUCUUAGCUCGGAUUGAGGGCUGCAACUCGCCCUCAUGAAGCUGGAAUCCGUAGUAAUCGCGUUUCAACAGAACGCGGUGAAUACGUCCCUGCUCCUU
RNAcentral lists this ribosomal RNA (472 nucleotides) under uncultured Methanosaeta sp. Its description in RNAcentral is "bacterial SSU rRNA". It matches the Rfam family "Archaeal small subunit ribosomal RNA", at positions 871 to 1337 of the family's 1478-position model. Lineage: Archaea; Methanobacteriati; Methanobacteriota; Methanomicrobia; Methanotrichales; Methanotrichaceae. The record is from RNAcentral.